RNAcentral lists this ribosomal RNA (433 nucleotides) under uncultured bacterium. RNAcentral's name for it is "bacterial SSU rRNA". It matches the Rfam family "Bacterial small subunit ribosomal RNA", at positions 28 to 507 of the family's 1533-position model. The record is from RNAcentral.
GAUGAACGCUGGCGGCGUGCUUAACACAUGCAAGUCGAACGAACCUUCGGGUUAGUGGCGGACGGGUGAGUAACGCGUGAGAAUCUGCCCUCAGGAGGGGGACAACAGCUGGAAACGGCUGCUAAUACCCCAUAUGCCGCGAGGUGAAAUGAAUUUCGCCUGAGGAUGAGCUCGCGUCUGAUUAGCUAGUUGGUGUAGGUAAUGGCUCACCAAGGCAUCGAUCAGUAGCUGGUCUGAGAGGAUGAUCAGCCACACUGGGACUGAGACACGGCCCAGACUCCUACGGGAGGCAGCAGUGGGGAAUUUUCCGCAAUGGGCGAAAGCCUGACGGAGCAACGCCGCGUGAGGGAUGAAGGCCUCUGGGCUGUAAACCUCUUUUAUCAAGGAAGAAGAUCUGACGGUACUUGAAGAGUAAGCCACGGCUAAUUCCGUG